RNAcentral lists this small nuclear RNA (101 nucleotides) under Solanum tuberosum (potato). The record is from RNAcentral. Lineage: Eukaryota; Viridiplantae; Streptophyta; Magnoliopsida; Solanales; Solanaceae.
GUCUUUGGGGACAUUUGAUAAAAUUGGAACAAUACAGAGAAGAUUAGCGUGACUCCUGCUCAAGGAUGACACACAUAAAUUGAGAAAUGGUCCAAAUAUUU